Molecule: ribosomal RNA, 483 nt
Filed under: uncultured bacterium
Lineage: Bacteria
Description: partial 16S ribosomal RNA
Rfam family: Bacterial small subunit ribosomal RNA
Source: RNAcentral
UUGCACGCUGGCGGCAGGCCUAACACAUGCAAGUCGAGCGGAUGAAGGGAGCUUGCUCCUGGAUUCAGCGGCGGACGGGUGAGUAAUGCCUAGGAAUCUGCCUGGUAGUGGGGGAUAACGUCCGGAAACGGGCGCUAAUACCGCAUACGUCCUGAGGGAGAAAGUGGGGGAUCUUCGGACCUCACGCUAUCAGAUGAGCCUAGGUCGGAUUAGCUAGUUGGUGGGGUAAAGGCCUACCAAGGCGACGAUCCGUAACUGGUCUGAGAGGAUGAUCAGCCACACUGGAACUGAGACACGGUCCAGACUCCUACGGGAGGCAGCAGUGGGGAAUAUUGGACAAUGGGCGAAAGCCUGAUCCAGCCAUGCCGCGUGUGUGAAGAAGGUCUUCGGAUUGUAAAGCACUUUAAGUUGGGAGGAAGGGCAGUAAGUUAAUACCUUGCUGUUUUGACGUUACCAACAGAAUAAGCACCGGCUAACUUCGUG